This 774-nucleotide ribosomal RNA is filed under the name uncultured Neocallimastigales. RNAcentral describes it as "partial large subunit ribosomal RNA". It matches the Rfam family "Eukaryotic large subunit ribosomal RNA", at positions 23 to 646 of the family's 3401-position model. The record is from RNAcentral. Lineage: Eukaryota; Fungi; Neocallimastigomycota; Neocallimastigomycetes; Neocallimastigales.
AGAGAGAGACAUGCGCGCAUAUCAAUAAGCGGAGGAAAAGAAACUAACAAGGAUUCCCUUAGUAACGGCGAGUGAAGCGGGAAGAGCUCAAAUUUGAAAUCUUCAAGGUUCUACCUUGACGAAUUGUAGUUUAAAGAAGUGUUUUCUGUUGAAGUUUUGGUAAAAGUUCUUUGGAAUAGGACAUCAUAGAGGGUGAGAAUCCCGUAUUUGGCCAUUAUUUUCAGCUGUGUGAUACACUUUCAAAGAGUCGGAUUGUUUGGGAAUGCAGUCCAAAAUGGGUGGUAAAUUUCAUCUAAAGCUAAAUAUUGGCGAGAGACCGAUAGCGAACAAGUACCGUGAGGGAAAGAUGAAAAGAACUUUGAAAAGAGAGUUAAACAGUACGUGAAAUUGUCAAAAGGGAAGCGUUUGACACCAGUGUUGUUUUUCUGAAAAUCAAUUAAAGAACUGUUUAUGCUAAGCUGUUUAGACUUUAUCAGCUAUCUGUUUAGUUUUGAGCUUUUCUUUAAUGCACUUUUCAGUUAACAAGUCAACAUCAAUUUCUUUUGCUGUAAAAAAGCUUGAGGAAGGUGGCUUGAGAUUCGUCUUAAGUGUUUAUAGCCUCUUGCCUAUGCAGUCGGAGAGAUUGAGGUCUGCAGCGUAGAUCCUUCGGGGCUAAAUGCAUUUGUGCUAAGUUAUAGCAUUUUAUAGACAACUUGUUGACUAUGAUUUGUCUUGUAGCUUACUCGCUUAUGUUAUUUUACCUACGCUUAGGAUGUUGAUGUGAUACUGCGAGCA